RNAcentral lists this ribosomal RNA (455 nucleotides) under uncultured bacterium. Its description in RNAcentral is "bacterial SSU rRNA". It matches the Rfam family "Bacterial small subunit ribosomal RNA", at positions 30 to 480 of the family's 1533-position model. The record is from RNAcentral.
AUUGAACGCUGGCGGCAUGCCUUACACAUGCAAGUCGAACGGCAGCACGGGAGCUUGCUCCUGGUGGCGAGUGGCGAACGGGUGAGUAAUGCAUCGGAACGUGCCCUGAAGUGGGGGAUAACGUAGCGAAAGUUACGCUAAUACCGCAUAUUCUGUGAGCAGGAAAGCAGGGGAUCUUCGGACCUUGCGCUUUUGGAGCGGCCGAUGUCGGAUUAGCUAGUUGGUGGGGCAAAGGCCCACCAAGGCGACGAUCCGUAGCGGGUCUGAGAGGAUGAUCCGCCACACUGGAACUGAGACACGGUCCAGACUCCUACGGGAGGCAGCAGUGGGGAAUUUUGGACAAUGGGCGCAAGCCUGAUCCAGCCAUGCCGCGUGAGUGAAGAAGGCCUCGGUUGUAAGACUCUUCGUGGGAGGAAAGUUAGCUUGGUUAAGUACCUGAGUAGAUGACGGUACCG